This 247-nucleotide ribosomal RNA is filed under the name uncultured bacterium. Its description in RNAcentral is "partial 16S ribosomal RNA". It matches the Rfam family "Bacterial small subunit ribosomal RNA", at positions 57 to 305 of the family's 1533-position model. The record is from RNAcentral.
GCAAGUCGAACGAUGAAACCUAGCUUGCUAGGUGAAUUAGUGGCGAACGGGUGAGUAAUAUAUAGCUAACCUGCCCCUUAGAGAGGGACAACAGUUGGAAACGACUGCUAAUACCUCAUACUCCUUCUUAUCAUAAGAUAAGUCGGGAAAACUCCGGUGCUAAGGGAUGGGGCUUUACGGUAUCAGGUAGUUGGUGGGGUAAGAGCCUACCAAGCCAAUGACGCCUAGCUGGUCUGAGAGGAUGAUC